GACGGUUCUUGGGUGACAACCCUAGAAUUGGGCUCCCUCCUCUCAGGUUCUGGGUGCAUCACCUGAGAACUGCC
Non-coding RNA from Myotis brandtii (Brandt's bat), 74 nucleotides. NCBI's taxonomy places the organism in Eukaryota, Metazoa, Chordata, Mammalia, Chiroptera, Vespertilionidae. The record is from Rfam.